Molecule: long non-coding RNA, 214 nt
Filed under: Salvia miltiorrhiza (redroot sage)
Lineage: Eukaryota; Viridiplantae; Streptophyta; Magnoliopsida; Lamiales; Lamiaceae
Description: long non-coding RNA (SMIL_LNC012656)
Source: RNAcentral
UUUCAUAUUUGAACUUGUUUUCUUCACAUGUCCAUUUAGGAAUCUCAUAAGCUUGUGCCAUCUCCCAAAACAGUUCUUCCAUGCUGUAUGUUUUUCCCUAUUUUCAAUAUCAAUCUCAUCAUAACUCAGCUCUCACGCGAAUUCACCAACUAAGCCCAAUACAUCAUUAAACAGAGCAAGUGUACCCAUUCACGAGAGACACCAUUUCUUGAAC